This is a non-coding RNA of Helianthus annuus (common sunflower), 355 nucleotides long. The record is from Rfam. NCBI's taxonomy places the organism in Eukaryota, Viridiplantae, Streptophyta, Magnoliopsida, Asterales, Asteraceae.
ACUGUUCCCUGGGAUUGGCUUUGGGCCUUUCCUGCGCAGCUUAGGUGGAAGGCGAAGAAGGCCUCCUUCCGGGGGGUCCGAGCCAUCAGUGAGAUACCACUCUGGAAGAGCUAGAUAUUCUAACCUUGUGUCAGGACGUACGGGCCAAGGACAGUCUCAGGUAGGACAGUUUCUAUGGGGCGUAGGCCUCACCAAAAGGUAACGGAGGCGUUGCAAAGGUUUCCUCGGGCCGGACGGAGAUUGGCCCUCGAGUGCAAAGGCAGAAGGGAGCUUGGACUGCAAGACCACCCGUCGAGCAGGGACGAAAGUCGGCCUUAGUGAUCCGACGGUGCCGAGGGAAGGNNNNNNNNNNNNN